UUGGAAAUAGCUCAGUGGUAGAGCACUUGCCUAGCAAGCACAAGGCCCUGGGUUCGGUCCCCAGCUCCGGAA
RNAcentral lists this transfer RNA (72 nucleotides) under Rattus norvegicus (Norway rat). It matches the Rfam family "tRNA". From Rfam's summary of the family: Transfer RNA (tRNA) molecules are approximately 80 nucleotides in length. Their secondary structure includes four short double-helical elements and three loops (D, anti-codon, and T loops). Further hydrogen bonds mediate the characteristic L-shaped molecular structure. tRNAs have two regions of fundamental functional importance: the anti-codon, which is responsible for specific mRNA codon recognition, and the 3' end, to which the tRNAs corresponding amino acid is attached (by aminoacyl-tRNA synthetases). tRNAs cope with the degeneracy of the genetic code in two manners: having more than one tRNA (with a specific anti-codon) for a particular amino acid; and 'wobble' base-pairing, i.e. permitting non-standard base-pairing at the 3rd anti-codon position. Lineage: Eukaryota; Metazoa; Chordata; Mammalia; Rodentia; Muridae. The record is from Rfam by way of RNAcentral.